AGUAAGAUAAUAAGUAUAAACAUUUAGUAUAAAAAAUAAAAUGUCAAUCCAACGUCGCAGCUGCACUUGUUGUAGAGAGUUAACAGCCCAUCACUAUUACCAACUGGAGAGAACACAAAAUAUGCUUCAUUGAUCAUGGUGUAUAUGCAUAACCUUUGUAGGGUCGGCCCUGGUGUAUGGCCAGCGGGGUGACGGCCCUGGCCCACGAGAGAGAGGUUCAUGACAUAGUAUACAUGUACACUAUAGCCCAGUAAAAAAUAAGCAAAAUAAAUUAUAAAAGAAAGGGAAGAAGAAAGCUAGGCACAUAUUUCGAAAAUUAGUGAUCGAUCGGUGUUUGGUGCGAUGAUUCAAUUAACGAAACAUCACGUUGAGAUGCUUGUUUUACUUGGUCUGCUUGUCGCCUCGACACCUCAUGUCUCGUGCCCAGUAACCUUGUCGAAAUCAUCGUUUUGCAGUCCGGCCAUACGGCAUUGCUAGGCGUCUCAGCUGGUUUGUCGCGGUCGGCUCUGCGCCUGACGCCGACAGUUCAGCCAUCAACAGCAGUAGUAAUCAAUAGACUGUAGACGACAGCAGUACGAGCCGAAGCGAAUGAAGCCCGACCACUCGGCAAGAUCCAUUCAUCAGAAUCAGUUUCAACUGCAGUAAUUAACAUAGUACAUAUCCUUCAUCCAUCCAGGUAGUGGUUACGAUGGUGCGAGAUAGAUUGACCUCAACAUCAGUACUUUUCAGUAGUUUUAGUUGACCUCAACCAUGUAUUCAGCAGCAGUAUGUAACUACAUAUGAACGUAUCCAUGAUGGCAUGGUCCAUCCAUGUUCCAUUGUUCCUGGUCCAUGCCCCAAACCCUAAUUUGACAAUUUAGUAGUAUUAUUUUAUUCUUUAUUUAGUAUGUAUGGAUUCAACUAUUUAUCCAUAUAUGCCUAGCCGCUUAGAACAUUAGCCUUCCAUGUUGCCUAAAAGAAGAGAUUGUCG
Molecule: long non-coding RNA, 970 nt
Filed under: Hordeum vulgare
Lineage: Eukaryota; Viridiplantae; Streptophyta; Magnoliopsida; Poales; Poaceae
Description: long non-coding RNA (HVUL_LNC014576)
Source: RNAcentral